Molecule: ribosomal RNA, 450 nt
Filed under: uncultured bacterium
Lineage: Bacteria
Description: partial 16S ribosomal RNA
Rfam family: Bacterial small subunit ribosomal RNA
Source: RNAcentral
GUGGGGAAUCUUCCGCAAUGGACGAAAGUCUGACGGAGCAACGCCGCGUGAGUGAUGAAGGUCUUCGGAUUGUAAAGCUCUGUUAAUCGGGACGAAAGAGCCUAGUGUGAAUAAUGCUAGGAAGUGACGGUACCGGAAUAGAAAGCCACGGCUAACUACGUGCCAGCAGCCGCGGUAAUACGUAGGUGGCAAGCGUUGUCCGGAAUUAUUGGGCGUAAAGCGCGCGCAGGCGGAUCUGCCAGUCUGUCUUAAAAGUUCGGGGCUUAACCCCGGGAUGGGAUGGAAACUACAGAUCUAGAGUAUCGGAGAGGAAAGUGGAAUUCCUAGUGUAGCGGUGAAAUGCGUAGAUAUUAGGAAGAACACCAGUGGCGAAGGCGACUUUCUGGACGAAAACUGACGCUGAGGCGCGAAAGCCAGGGGAGCGAACGGGAUUAGAUACCCUUGUAGUCC